Molecule: long non-coding RNA, 336 nt
Filed under: Homo sapiens (human)
Lineage: Eukaryota; Metazoa; Chordata; Mammalia; Primates; Hominidae
Description: non-protein coding lnc-HGSNAT-10:1
Source: RNAcentral
AUGGUCACCCCUGCUGCAUGUCGAGAAGGUGAAAGCCAAGAACACAGGGUACAGUGUUUCCACGCUCAUCCAGAGCAGGACAAACAGGCCAGGUUGUGUCAGGAGCCCAAGUAUCCAGUUGGUGCAAAUGUCAAACCUGCUGUGGAAGGAGGGGUCCAUUGCCCAUCCUAGGUACAGAUGGUAAUGUAGCGCAGGUAAGCUGGGCUUGGUAGCCCUCCCUAGCUUUGGAAAUAAGCCAAACAAGGAGCUUUCUGGAGAAUGAAAUCUCUUUUCCUUCCAGAAGCACUCCUGAAUUUUUGGUGAUUGCCAUUUGUGGCAGUGAGUUUUUGUCUGUUC